Molecule: long non-coding RNA, 1509 nt
Organism: Oncorhynchus keta (chum salmon)
Lineage: Eukaryota; Metazoa; Chordata; Actinopteri; Salmoniformes; Salmonidae
Exons: 3
Source: RefSeq, a predicted model, not a curated record
UCGUUUGUUGGGUUUGAAUAGUGUCAGGAUACAACACCAUAUUUGGUAGAAUCACAACAUGAGGUUCACAAUCAAUUAUACUGUAUCUCUUAAAGGGGCAGUAGCCUUAAUUGGUUGUACAACGUUCAAUUACAGCAUCAUUUAAUCUACAGUUAUUAUUCUGCUAUUGAUUAUCUUACGAAUAAUAUUUACAUGUUAAUAGUAUCGUCUGAUUACAAUUAUUAUGUCUCAUUUUUAAACUAAAUCCAAUCUAUUAGCUUCCAGGUAUAUCUCGCUGUGUGAUAACACAUUCUGAGGGAAUGGCUUGUCCGGCAUUUUGGAAAAACCCAGAGUGCUUUGAGUGAAUGUUGGAAAAAGAUUUUGGUUCCCUUCUAAACAUAGCAAUGUGAAUUGCAAAGAGGACUCACACCACACAUUAUUCAAGUGAACUGGCAAAAGAGUUGAGUUCAAAGGCAAGGGCAGUGUGAAUUUAAAGAUAACUGAGUAAUUUAGCUUUUUUAACUCCAGAGUUUAAAGAGGAGUGAGGUCAGUUCUUUAUAGAGGAGAGACCAGUUCUUUAUAGAGGAGAGACCAGUUCUUUAUUGAGGAGAGGUCAGUUCUUUAUAGAGGAGAGACCAGUUCUUUAUAGAGGAGAGACCAGUUCUUUAUUGAGGAGAGAUCAGUUCUUUAUAGAGGAGAGACCAGUUAUUUAUUGAGGAGAGGUCAGUUCUUUAUAGAGGACUGAGGUCAGUUCUUUAUAGAGAAGAGACCAGUUCUUUAUAGAGGAGAAACCAGUUCUUUAUAGAGGACUGAGGUCAGUUCUUUAUAGAGGAGAGACCAGUUCUUUAUAGAGGAGAGACCAGUUCUUUAUAGAGGAGAGACCAGUUCUUUAUAGAGGAGAGGUCAGUUCUUUAUAGAGGAGAGGUCAGUUCUUUAUAGAGGAGAGGUCAGUUCUUUAUAGAGGAGAGGUCAGUUCUUUAUAGAGGAGAGACCAGUUCUUUAUAGAGGAGAGGUCAGUUCUUUAUAGAGGAGAGGUCAGUUCUUUAUAGAGGAGAGGUCAGUUCUUUAUAGAGGAGAGGUCAGUUCUUUAUAGAGGAGAGGUCAGUUCUUUAUAGAGGAGAGGUCAGUUCAUUAUAGAGGAGAGGUCAGUUCUUUAUAGAGGAGAGGUCAGUUCUUUAUAGAGGAGAGGUCAGUUCAUUAUAGAGGAGAUGUCAGUUCUUUAUAGAGGAGAGACCAGUUCUUUAUAGAGGAGAGACCAGUUCUUUAUAGAGGAGAGACCAGUUCUUUAUAGAGGAGAGACCAGUUCUUUAUAGAGGAGAGGUCAGUUCUUUAUAGAGGAGAGACCAGUUCUUUAUAGAGGAGAGGUCAGUUCUUUAUAGAGGAGAGGUCAGUUCUUUAUAGAGGAGAGGUCAGUUCUUUAUAGAGGAGAGGUCAGUUCUUUAUAGAGGAGAGGUCAGUUCAUUAUAGAGGAGAGGUCAGUUCAUUAUAGAGGCUAACCCCCUAAAACAGCUAUUCCCCCUAAGACUGCUA